UACGUAGGGUCCGAGCGUUGUCCGGAAUUAUUGGGCGUAAAGGGCUCGUAGGCGGUUUGUCGCGUCGGGAGUGAAAACCAGAGGCUUAACUUCUGGCUUGCUUUCGAUACGGGCAGACUUGAGGUAUGCAGGGGAGAACGGAAUUCCUGGUGUAGCGGUGGAAUGCGCAGAUAUCAGGAGGAACACCGGUGGCGAAGGCGGUUCUCUGGGCAUUACCUGACGCUGAGGAGCGAAAGUGUGGGGAGCGAACAGG
This 253-nucleotide ribosomal RNA is filed under the name uncultured bacterium. Its description in RNAcentral is "partial 16S ribosomal RNA". It matches the Rfam family "Bacterial small subunit ribosomal RNA", at positions 524 to 776 of the family's 1533-position model. The record is from RNAcentral.